GCCCCGUUGGCGCAAUGGAUAGCGCGUUGGACUUCGAAUCCAAAGGUUGCGGGUUCGAGUCCCGCACGGGGUU
Non-coding RNA from Diplonema papillatum, 73 nucleotides. Lineage: Eukaryota; Euglenozoa; Diplonemea; Diplonemida; Diplonemidae. The record is from the annotation of a GenBank genome assembly.